Molecule: ribosomal RNA, 254 nt
Filed under: uncultured bacterium
Lineage: Bacteria
Description: partial 16S ribosomal RNA
Rfam family: Bacterial small subunit ribosomal RNA
Source: RNAcentral
GACGAACCGUGCGAACGUUAUUCGGAAUCACUGGGCUUAAAGCGCGUGUAGGCGGGAGGGCACGUCCGUCGCUGAAAUCCCCCGGCUCAACCGGGGAACGGGCGCGGAUACGACCUUCCUGGAGGGGCGUAGGGGGACCUGGAACUUCCGGUGGAGCGGUGAAAUGCGUUGAGAUCGGAAAGAACACCAACGGCGAAAGCACUCUGCUGGGCCGACACUGACACUGAGAGACGAAAGCUAGGGGAGCAAAUGGG